GUCUCACUGGCAUGACCUCAUCACAGUCCUAAAACUAUUACCCAGACCUAUGGGGUUCAUUAUAAUCUUAAAAAUAAAAAGAUGCAGCAUAUAAUGAAUCAAAAAUAUCUAUUUUAUUAAUAAUAUAAAUAUCAAGUACAUGAGUCUGAAAGAUAAAUUACAGAAAAUAUCCUCUUACAUCUCGUAUGCGAUUGGCUUAUAGGACAUUAUUCUUUCAGCCCAUAGUUUACUAAAUUGAAAUACAGUGAUGCAUUAUCUCCUAUAAUUUGAAGAGAUCAAUCCCAU
Molecule: long non-coding RNA, 285 nt
Filed under: Elaeis guineensis (African oil palm)
Lineage: Eukaryota; Viridiplantae; Streptophyta; Magnoliopsida; Arecales; Arecaceae
Description: long non-coding RNA (EGUI_LNC048465)
Source: RNAcentral